GUGCCAUCCAAACCUGUGGAUAAACCUCAAAGGGUGUCCAAAAAAAAAUAUUCCAUUCUACUACAUCACCUUCCACAAUUAUUCUUGAAAGUUGCAAUCUUUUCGCCAAUUGAAUUCCAAAACCAUAAGCUUUUGCUUCCGCUGCUGUUGCUGAGAAAGUAUCGAAACAUAAAGCACCACUUCCCCUAUGAGAUCCAUUCGAGUCUACUGCCACUGCUGCCACAACAUCCUUUCCAUUAUUAAAAGCGGCAUCAACAUUUAUAUUCACAAAAGAGAUAAGAGGAGGGACGCUCGUUAGGUGAUUAUGUUGCUUGCGAUGGUGUUACGGUGAUGGUGGGCGUUAUUGGGGGUGCUCACUGAUGUUAAAAUUAUUCGUUACAUUGAAUCCCAUAGAUUCAUAUCCCGUAAUCGAUUUCAUACGUUACAGUCAUACAUCAAUUCCUUGAAAUGUUCCACUGAACUCAAGAGAGAGGUUAUCAUCUUCCCGGGUUUCUCUAAUUCUUUCUCCAGCAUACCCUCUCAAGAAUACAAGACUACUUUUUUGGUCUAUUGGGAAAAAAGCUAGCUUCGAUCUGUCUCAGGUAUUGCUGAAGUUGCUCUAGAUAGGAUUGGUGGAUCCCCUGUAAUAACUGAAUCAAGAGAUGGAAAUGAUAGAGAAGGUGGGAAAUGUUACUCUUGGAACUGUUGUUUAUCGCAAAACUGGAGCUUCUGAUCCAACCUUCACAGCGACUACGAAUCUCUUCCACACCCUCCAUAAUUAUUAGUGGUUGCAACUGUGAUCCUGGACGUGAUUAUGAUUUGGACAAGGCCGAGGAGAAUUGAAGCUGUAUCAUAGGCUCAACUUUCGUCUUAUAAUGAUGAAAUGGGAAAAAAAAAUUGUUUCAUAUAUUGAUCUUUUCGGUUGUAUUUAAAUAUUUUUGUCGUCAGUUCCACGAUGUCGAGGAAUAUUAGUUUUGUGCAUUCUGUCCUAUUGCUUCCUCUCUUUUGAAACCAGGCGUGUAAAAUUGUAUUUUUUUUGUUCCCAUUAAUAUCAAGCUAUGGUGGUGACAAGUCUGCAA
Long non-coding RNA from Papaver somniferum (opium poppy), 1058 nucleotides. RefSeq lists it as uncharacterized. The record is from RefSeq and is a predicted model, not a curated record. The transcript is spliced from 6 exons. NCBI's taxonomy places the organism in Eukaryota, Viridiplantae, Streptophyta, Magnoliopsida, Ranunculales, Papaveraceae.